AGAAGUAGAAGUGUGGUAAGGCCCCCAAGUAUCCACAUGUAUUAAUUGAAAUGGUCUAGUUGUACUGAUACUGCUGUCAUGAAAAGGGAGUCUAGUCUGCUUUGCCAUAGGGCAGAUAGAACAUGGAAAGGGUUGUUUAGGAUCAAGUGGAAAAGACAAACCCGAAAUAUGUUGUUAUAUUUUCAAAAGAAGUAUGUGCCAGUCUUAAAUGCCAAAUGUAAUUCAUAUCAUUGAUAACAACAUUAUUACAAAUNNNNNNNNNNNNNNNNNNNNNNNNNNAAGAAGUAGAAGUGUGGUAAGGCCCCCAAGUAUCCACAUGUAUUAAUUGAAAUGGUCUAGUUGUACUGAUACUGCUGUCAUGAAAAGGGAGUCUAGUCUGCUUUGCCAUAGGGCAGACAGUACAGGGAAAGGGUUGUUUAGGAGCAAGUGGAAAAGACAAACCAGAAAUAUGUCUCAUAUUUUCAAAAGGAGUAUGUGCCAGUCUUAAACGGCAAAUGUAAUUCAUAUCAUUGACAACAACAUUAUUACAAAUGGAAUUGUUCACAAAUGGAAGUAAGCCAACAUUUUUGCUGUCAGACACAGUGUCAUCAUUACAAAAAUCAAACAAAGCACACACAGAAGUAAAAGGAGAAACAGAAGAGGGAGAAGGGGAAGGAGGCACCCAAGNNNNNNNNGUGUGAACAGAAAUCUAGUUGUGUUUAAAGGAAGGAACCAGAAGCACAUUAUGAAGAGUAAGGGAAGAAGUUAAUGCAAAAGAACAUGUACAAGUUACAUUUACUUUGUAACCAUUAGGUAAAGUUACAAGAUAAGGAACAGUCAAAGGUAUGAUGUUAAAGAGUAGGUUUUUAUUAUGUGUCAUAUGAUUAGAUGCCCCUGAAUCAAUGAUCCAUGUGACAGAAUUAAUAUGUGUAAGCAUGCAUAAUUUGGAAUCAAAAACAAGAGUCUCAGUCAACAUUGUACCAGCAAAAUUAGCAGCACACAUAGAAGGAGGAGUUUGAUCACUGGAAUCCCCUAACUUGGUCUGUUGCAACAGGCUCAUCAAUUGAUCAUAGUGGUGUCUUCUCAACCCUGGUAUCACAGAACUGUGACCAUCUAUGUGGCUGGCAGAAGGAUCCCCAAGAGGA
This 1124-nucleotide long non-coding RNA is filed under the name Nicotiana benthamiana. RNAcentral's name for it is "long non-coding RNA (NBEN_LNC013367)". Lineage: Eukaryota; Viridiplantae; Streptophyta; Magnoliopsida; Solanales; Solanaceae. The record is from RNAcentral.